This is a small nuclear RNA of Erinaceus europaeus (western European hedgehog), 102 nucleotides long. NCBI's taxonomy places the organism in Eukaryota, Metazoa, Chordata, Mammalia, Eulipotyphla, Erinaceidae. The record is from Ensembl.
GUGCUCACUUUGGCAGCACAUAUACUAUAAUUGGAACAGAGAAGAUUAGCAUGGCCCCUGAGCAAGGAUGACACACAAAUUCGUGAAGCUCUGGACUGGAAA